AUACGUAGGGGGCGAGCGUUGUCCGGAAUUAUUGGGCGUAAAGGGUGCGUAGGCGGCCCUUCAAGUUGGAUGUGAAAUCCCCGUGCUUAACAUGGGAAUUGCAUUCAAAACUGGAGGGCUUGAGUGUGGAAGAGGUAAGUGGAAUUCCCAGUGUAGCGGUGAAAUGCGUAGAGAUUGGGAGGAACACCAGUGGCGAAGGCGACUUACUGGGCCACAACUGACGCUGAGGCGCGAAGGCGUGGGGAGC
This 247-nucleotide ribosomal RNA is filed under the name uncultured bacterium. RNAcentral describes it as "partial 16S ribosomal RNA". It matches the Rfam family "Bacterial small subunit ribosomal RNA", at positions 523 to 769 of the family's 1533-position model. The record is from RNAcentral.